RNAcentral lists this ribosomal RNA (602 nucleotides) under uncultured bacterium. Its description in RNAcentral is "bacterial SSU rRNA". It matches the Rfam family "Bacterial small subunit ribosomal RNA", at positions 185 to 804 of the family's 1533-position model. The record is from RNAcentral.
CCGGCAUCGGGAAGAGGGAAAAGGAGCAAUCCGCUUUGAGAUGGCCUCGCGUCCGAUUAGCUGGUUGGUGAGGUAACGGCCCACCAAGGCGACGAUCGGUAGCCGGACUGAGAGGUUGAACGGCCACAUUGGGACUGAGACACGGCCCAGACUCCUACGGGAGGCAGCAGUGGGGAAUAUUGCACAAUGGGGGAAACCCUGAUGCAGCGACGCCGCGUGGAGGAAGAAGGUCUUCGGAUUGUAAACUCCUGUUGUUGAGGAAGAUAAUGACGGUACUCAACAAGGAAGUGACGGCUAACUACGUGCCAGCAGCCGCGGUAAAACGUAGGUCACAAGCGUUAUCCGGAAUUACUGGGUGUAAAGGGAGCGCAGGCGGGCGAUCAAGUUGGAAGUGAAAUCCAUGGGCUCAACCCAUGAACUGCUUUCAAAACUGGUCGUCUUGAGUAGUGCAGAGGUAGGCGGAAUUCCCGGUGUAGCGGUGGAAUGCGUAGAUAUCGGGAGGAACACCAGUGGCGAAGGCGGCCUACUGGGCACCAACUGACGCUGAGGCUCGAAAGUGUGGGUAGCAAACAGGAUUAGAUACCCUGGUAGUCCACACCGUA